UGUGAUGUCAUAUACUUUCAAAGGUCCCA
This 29-nucleotide non-coding RNA is filed under the name Mus musculus (house mouse). Lineage: Eukaryota; Metazoa; Chordata; Mammalia; Rodentia; Muridae. The record is from RNAcentral.